This 253-nucleotide ribosomal RNA is filed under the name uncultured bacterium. RNAcentral's name for it is "partial 16S ribosomal RNA". It matches the Rfam family "Bacterial small subunit ribosomal RNA", at positions 524 to 776 of the family's 1533-position model. The record is from RNAcentral.
GACAGAGGGUGCAAACGUUGUUCGGAAUUACUGGGCGUAAAGCGCGUGUAGGCGGGUCUUUAAGUCAGGGGUGAAAUGCCAAGGCUCAACCUUGGAACUGCCUUUGAUACUGGAGAUCUUGAGUCCGGGAGAGGUGAGUGGAAUUGCGAGUGUAGAGGUGAAAUUCGUAGAUAUUCGCAAGAACACCAGUGGCGAAGGCGGCUCACUGGCCCGGAACUGACGCUGAGACGCGAAAGCGUGGGGAGCAAACAGG